GCAAUAGUAGCUUAAUAUUAGAGCGCCGGCUUUGUAAUCCGGAGGUGGAGGCGAACAUUCCUUUCUUUUGCU
This 72-nucleotide transfer RNA is filed under the name Percichthys trucha. Its description in RNAcentral is "tRNA-Thr". It matches the Rfam family "tRNA". From Rfam's summary of the family: Transfer RNA (tRNA) molecules are approximately 80 nucleotides in length. Their secondary structure includes four short double-helical elements and three loops (D, anti-codon, and T loops). The record is from RNAcentral. Lineage: Eukaryota; Metazoa; Chordata; Actinopteri; Centrarchiformes; Percichthyidae.